This 1438-nucleotide ribosomal RNA is filed under the name uncultured organism. RNAcentral's name for it is "SSU rRNA". It matches the Rfam family "Bacterial small subunit ribosomal RNA". The record is from RNAcentral.
GGCUUAACACAUGCAAGUCGAGGGGCAGCAUGGUCUUAGCUUGCUAAGGCCGAUGGCGACCGGCGCACGGGUGAGUAACGCGUAUCCAACCUGCCUUACACUCUUGGACAGCCUUCUGAAAGGGAGAUUAAUACAAGAUGUUAUCAUGAGUAAGCAUUUUCGCAUGAUUAAAGGUUUACCGGUGUAAGAUGGGGAUGCGUUCCAUUAGAUAGUAGGCGGGGUAACGGCCCACCUAGUCUUCGAUGGAUAGGGGUUCUGAGAGGAAGGUCCCCCACAUUGGAACUGAGACACGGUCCAAACUCCUACGGGAGGCAGCAGUGAGGAAUAUUGGUCAAUGGACGAGAGUCUGAACCAGCCAAGUAGCGUGAAGGAUGAAGGUUCUAUGGAUUGUAAACUUCUUUUAUACGGGAAUAAACGGAUCCACGUGUGGAUUUUUGCAUGUACCGUAUGAAUAAGGAUCGGCUAACUCCGUGCCAGCAGCCGCGGUAAUACGGAGGAUCCGAGCGUUAUCCGGAUUUAUUGGGUUUAAAGGGAGCGUAGAUGGGUUGUUAAGUCAGUUGUGAAAGUUUGCGGCUCAACCGUAAAAUUGCAAUUGAUACUGGCAGUCUUGAGUACAGUUGAGGUAGGCGGAAUUCGUGGUGUAGCGGUGAAAUGCUUAGAUAUCACGAAGAACUCUGAUUGCGAAGGCAGCUUACUAACCUGUAACUGACAUUGAUGCUCGAAAGUGUGGGUAUCAAACAGGAUUAGAUACCCUGGUAGUCCACACGGUAAACGAUGAAUACUCGCUGUAGGCGAUAUACAGUCUGCGGCCAAGCGAAAGCAUUAAGUAUUCCACCUGGGGAGUACGCCGGCAACGGUGAAACUCAAAGGAAUUGACGGGGGCCCGCACAAGCGGAGGAACAUGUGGUUUAAUUCGAUGAUACGCGAGGAACCUUACCCGGGCUUAAAUUGCAACCGAAUAUGGCGGAAACGCUAUAGCUAGCAAUAGCGGUUGUGAAGGUGCUGCAUGGUUGUCGUCAGCUCGUGCCGUGAGGUGUCGGUUUAAGUGCCAUAACGAGCGCAACCCUUGCCGAUAGUUACUAACAGGUUAUGCUGAGGACUCUGUCGGGACUGCCAUCGUAAGAUGUGAGGAAGGUGGGGAUGACGUCAAAUCAGCACGGCCCUUACGUCCGGGGCUACACACGUGUUACAAUGGGGGGUACAGAGGGCUGCUACCACGCAAGUGGAUGCCAAUCCCAAAAACCUCUCUCAGUUCGGAUUGAAGUCUGCAACCCGACUUCAUGAAGCUGGAUUCGCUAGUAAUCGCGCAUCAGCCACGGCGCGGUGAAUACGUUCCCGGGCCUUGUACACACCGCCCGUCAAGCCAUGGGAGCCGGGGGUACCUGAAGUGCGUAACCGAAAGGAGCGCCCUAGGGUAAAACUGGUGACUGGGGCUAAG